RNAcentral lists this ribosomal RNA (253 nucleotides) under uncultured bacterium. RNAcentral's name for it is "partial 16S ribosomal RNA". It matches the Rfam family "Bacterial small subunit ribosomal RNA", at positions 524 to 776 of the family's 1533-position model. The record is from RNAcentral.
UACGGGGGGAGCAAGCGUUGUUCGGAUUUACUGGGCGUAAAGGGCGCGUAGGCGGUAGCACAAGUCAGUUGUGAAAUCUCCGGGCUUAACUCGGAAAGGUCAACUGAUACUGUGCGACUAGAGUGCAGAAGGGGCAACUGGAAUUCUCGGUGUAGCGGUGAAAUGCGUAGAGCUCGGGAAGAACAUCGGUGGCGAAAGCGCUCUGCUGGACUGCAACUGACACUCAGGGACGAAAGCUAGGGGAGCGAAUGGG